Molecule: ribosomal RNA, 460 nt
Filed under: uncultured bacterium
Lineage: Bacteria
Description: partial 16S ribosomal RNA
Rfam family: Bacterial small subunit ribosomal RNA
Source: RNAcentral
CCUACGGGAGGCUGCAGUGAGGAAUAUUGGUCAAUGGACGCAAGUCUGAACCAGCCAUGCCGCGUGCAGGAAGACGGCCCUAUGAGUUGUAAACUGCUUUUGUACGAGGGUAAACUCCGAUACGCGUACUUCUCUGCAAGUAUCGUACGAAUAAGGAUCGGCUAACUCCGUGCCAGCAGCCGCGGUAAUACGGAGGAUUCAAGCGUUAUCCGGAUUUAUUGGGUUUAAAGGGUGCGUAGGCGGUCGGUUAAGUUAGAUGUGAAAGCCUGAGGCUCAACCUUGGAAUUGCCUUUGAUACUGGUAGGCUAGAGAGUAGUUGCGGUAGGCGGAAUGUGUGGUGUAGCGGUGAAAUGCUUAGAGAUCAUACAGAACACCGAUUGCGAAGGCAGCUUACCAAGCUACGUCUGACGUUGAGGCACGAAAGCGUGGGGAGCAAACAGGAUUAGAUACCCCUGUAGUC